AGAACGAACGCUGGCGGCAUGCCUAAUACAUGCAAGUCGAACGAACACUUCGGUGUUAGUGGCGCACGGGUGCGUAACGCGUGGGAAUCUGCCCUUGGGUUCGGAAUAACAGUUGGAAACGACUGCUAAUACCGGAUGAUAUCGAAAGAUCAAAGAUUUAUCGCCCAGGGAUGAGCCCGCGUAGGAUUAGCUAGUUGGUGAGGUAAAGGCUCACCAAGGCGACGAUCCUUAGCUGGUCUGAGAGGAUGAUCAGCCACACUGGGACUGAGACACGGCCCAGACCUCCGUACGGGAGGCAGCAGGUAGGGAAUAGUUAGGACAAGU
Molecule: ribosomal RNA, 324 nt
Filed under: uncultured soil bacterium
Lineage: Bacteria
Description: bacterial SSU rRNA
Rfam family: Bacterial small subunit ribosomal RNA
Source: RNAcentral